UGUGAUAUAGUGGGAAGAACUAAAAGAGGUGGCUUCUAUUCUGGAAAAGCAGGCUAGUCACUUCACUUCUCUAGGCCUGGAGUCCUCUGUGAAAUGAGGAAUUUAACUGAUCAUCAGAGCUCCUGCAAGUUACACAUCCUGGGCUUCAUCCUGGGAAAUCCUAAGACAGUGCAUUUUGGAGUAGUGCCAAAGAAUCUGUACUUUUUAAGGGACCCUGACACUCAGCUAGGUUUGGGAACUCCUGGGUAAGAUGCUUUUUAAAGUCUCCAUCAGCUAUGAAAUGCUAAGUCUCCUGUGAGCCCAAACAUAAAUUAAAACCCUAUUUUAACUAUUUUCUCCUUGUAGGCUACUGAAAGCAUUAAAAUGUUGGUGACAUUGUGUCAGUCCGAUGCUGAAGAAAUCAGAAAUGUGGCCUCAGAAACCCUUUUGUCUCUUGGAGAAGAUGGGCGGCUGGCAUAUGAACAACUAGACAAGUUUCCACGAGACUGUGUAAAAGUUGGAGAAUGUCAUGGAACUGAAGUUGCCACAGCCUUUUAAUUGUGGGUUAACUCUGCCUGACAGCUGUCUUAAAUGGCCCUAUUCGUCAAGAUGGUGCUGUGGUUUAGCUGGAAUGUGUAAACUUUGAAGAGAUCUGUUGAGGUUGUCUGAAAAUGUAACAUGUUAUAGAAAGAAUUCAAGUCCAGUUUCACAGUACCUACCUAGUUUUCCUUUGGCCGGAAGAGUAGGGCUAUGUGUGUAACUCAGUAGAUGGCAUUGCUCAUUGUGUCUGACAAUACAAGAGGCUAUCUUAUCUAGUAUCUAUGGAAUUUUAAAACAGCCAUCCUUGUACUUUUUUGGAAGUUCUUCUAUAAGCUUGAAAUAGUCAUGUGAUACUUUGAUAAAUAUUAUAUACCUUGCAGUUUUUCUCUCUUGUGGUCUCAGGGUUGAAUGGCCCCCUUUACCUAAUUUACCUUAGAUGCAAAGCACAAAAAAGAAUUUCUUCAAAUAAGUUUGCCUGCAAAACCAGAUAAAACAACACAUUAUAAGAGUUUGAUUUGAUUUUUCAAGGCUCUGUUAUUUCUUUUGUUUCUUUUCUCCAUCCUGAAACUCUAAAAGCGGUUCCAUCAUGGUAAAAACAUAGAUGGAUGACUAAAAACUACCUUAUUUAGAUUAUACCUAUACUCAUUUUAAAAAGACACACAAAGCUAAAGCUUUUUCUUUAUUUAAACAAGGGCCAUUUUUUUAUACUUCUACAAUGGAGGUAUUUUGCUGCUAAGACAAAUCAAAACCAAAGGUCAUGGAUUCAGAAAGCAGGGAUCUCUUCAAGGUAGAAGAACCUGGAAGCUGGAGGAAUCUACAGGGGUGGAAACUGAGGGACAUUGAAAGGGUCCUUGCUUCCAUAUAAAUUAGCAUGAGAUUAGGAAGAAGAAUGCCUGAGGGAUGGUGUGCCCCAGAGAGAUCGUUGCUGGGGGAUCGCUUGGCCAAUUAGCUAAAACAACAGCUCCCAUUAUUGCUUCCAUACCAGGAUUAGCAAAUUCAUUAAAUAAGUACAAUACCAUUCAAUAGCUCUUACUAAACAACUUUUCUUCCUCUUAAGAGUAUGCAAGGUGAGAUGAUAUGUGUGAGUGUAAUUUAAACUGUGGACUAUCUGUACUCUGGAUGUGUUUGUAUAAAAUUUCAUUUAGAUGUCAUUUUAAAUAAUUACAGUUUAGCAAGACCUUUAAAAACAACUCAUUUCAUUGUAAAGUAAAAAUUGUUUGUGCCAGGCUUCCUGGCAAAUUGUUCUUUCGACUGUGAAGUUACAACGUAUAUAUAUAUUUGUACAUUUAUAAAUAUUAUAUACAUGCAUAUAUCCUUCAUUUUAAAGGUAUACUGUACAGUCUAUAGUUAGUAUGUAUAGUCCAUAGUUUCUGUUAAAUGGUAAAAUUAUUCUUUUUAUACAAAGUCAAAUCACAAAUGUUACAGAGUGUUUUUUUAAUAUUGCAUGAGUAAUUCUGUAUCUUUUGUAUUCGCUUCUGCAUUUUAUUUUGGUUGAAGGGGAUGCUUUUAGUUCUGGGGCAUUUGUAUUUAUCUCUCUUUCAAAUCAUGUAAGUUAAAAUAAAAGUUAUUUUUCAAUUACUAGUCUCAUA
This is a non-coding RNA of Manis javanica (Malayan pangolin), 2108 nucleotides long. Lineage: Eukaryota; Metazoa; Chordata; Mammalia; Pholidota; Manidae. The record is from RefSeq and is a predicted model, not a curated record.